AGUGAACGCUGGCGGUAGCCUAACACAUGCAAGUCGAACGGCAGCACAGUAAGAGCUUGCUCUUACGGGUGGCGAGUGGCGGACGGGUGAGGUAUACAUCGGAAUCUACUUUUUCGUGGGGGAUAACGUAGGGAAACUUACGCUAAUACCGCAUACGACCUACGGGUGAAAGCCGGGGAUCUUCGGACCUUGCGCGAAUGGAUGAGCCGAUGUCGGAUUAGCUAGUUUGCGGGGUAAAGGCGCACCAAGGCGACGAUCCGUAGCUGGUCUGAGCGGAUGAUCAGCCACACUGGCAGUGAGACACGGUCCAGACUCCGACGGGAGGCAGCAGUGGGGAAUAUUGGACAAUGGGGGCAAGCCUGAUCCAGCCAUACCGCGUGGGUGAAGAAGGCCUUCGGGUUGUAAAGCCCUUUUGUUGGGAAAGAAAAGCAGCAGGUUAAUACCCCGCUGUUCUGACGGUACCCAAAGAAUAAGCACCGGCUAACUUCGUG
This 491-nucleotide ribosomal RNA is filed under the name uncultured bacterium. Its description in RNAcentral is "partial 16S ribosomal RNA". It matches the Rfam family "Bacterial small subunit ribosomal RNA", at positions 29 to 507 of the family's 1533-position model. The record is from RNAcentral.